GGGCUCACACAAGCGGUGGAGCAUGUGGAUUAAUUCGAAGCAACGCGCAGAACCUUACCUAGGUUUGACAUGCUUGGAUGCUUGCCUGGAAACAGGUUAAGCUGCCCUUCGGGGUGAAACUUGCACAGGUGCUGCAUGGCUGUCGUCAGCUCGUGUCGUGAGAUGUCGGGUUAAGUCCUCUAACGAGCGAAACCCUUGCCGUUAGUUACCAGCGGGUUAUGCCGGGAACUCUAACGGGACUGCCGGUGUUAAACCGGAGGAAGGUGGGGAUGACGUCAAGUCAUCAUGGCCUUUAUGCCUAGGGCAUCACACGUGCUACAAUGACCGGUACAAAGCGACGCAAGACCGCGAGGUGGAGCCAAUCGCAAAAAACCGGCCUCAGUUCGGAUUGCAGGCUGGCAACUCGCCUGCAUGAAGUUGGAAUCGCUAGUAAUCGCGAAUCAGCUAUGUCGCGGUGAAUGUGUUCCUGAGCCUU
RNAcentral lists this ribosomal RNA (475 nucleotides) under uncultured bacterium. RNAcentral describes it as "bacterial SSU rRNA". It matches the Rfam family "Bacterial small subunit ribosomal RNA", at positions 917 to 1382 of the family's 1533-position model. The record is from RNAcentral.